AUAUUCUGGAGCAGCUCAUGGGCCUAGCAUUUCACGGACCAUAUUUUGGGCAGUGCUGCUACAGCAGAAAGGAAAUGGGUGACCUCUUCCUUGCUGGUAAUAGUAAGGUUGUCUGAGAGAAGAAAGGUUUGAAGGGGGGCCCAAACACCAAACUGCUUUUGAGUCAUUCCUGGGGAAGGUCAAGGUCUAUAGUGUGCCUUGUUUCACUUUAGAGUCAACAUCUCGCUAUUUGGGGGGAACGGACUUUAGAACAGAAAAAAAUAGCUGCUUGGGAGAAAGAGUUUCACUGCUAUGAGAUGUCAAGUCCCUAAAGUUAAAUGUUACUGAUGGAAGAAUACAGCUGAAGAAGAGCUCUUGGCUUGACUGAGUAGCUGAUCUCUUUACAAGAAGGGAUACAAGCCCUGCAGUGGAACUCACUGCUGAUCCUUCAGACUUGUCUUUCUAGGUUUAUCCUGCAGACCUUAUCACUGCAUAGCAGUAGUUCACGCUAACAUACAACUGCA
This 503-nucleotide long non-coding RNA is filed under the name Homo sapiens (human). RNAcentral describes it as "non-protein coding lnc-PEX7-1:3". The record is from RNAcentral. Lineage: Eukaryota; Metazoa; Chordata; Mammalia; Primates; Hominidae.